GAUCCUGGCUCAGGAUGAACGCUAGCUACAGGCUUAACACAUGCAAGUCGCGGGGCAGCAGAUAAGAAAGCUUGCUUUUUUAUGCUGGCGACCGGCGCACGGGUGAGUAACGCGUAUCCAACCUGGCCCAUACCACGGGACAGCCCGUCGAAAGGCGGAUUAAUACCGUAUGCAGUCAUUAGGGAGCAUUUUUUUAGAUGACGAAAGGAUUUGGCGGUACGGGAUGGGGAUGCGUCUGAUUAG
Molecule: ribosomal RNA, 243 nt
Filed under: uncultured bacterium
Lineage: Bacteria
Description: partial 16S ribosomal RNA
Rfam family: Bacterial small subunit ribosomal RNA
Source: RNAcentral